UGGGGAAUUUUGGACAAUGGGCGAAAGCCUGAUCCAGCAAUGCCGCGUGUGUGAAGAAGGCCUUCGGGUUGUAAAGCACUUUUGUCCGGAAAGAAAUCCUUGGCUCUAAUACAGUCGGGGGAUGACGGUACCGGAAGAAUAAGCACCGGCUAACUACGUGCCAGCAGCCGCGGUAAUACGUAGGGUGCAAGCGUUAAUCGGAAUUACUGGGCGUAAAGCGUGCGCAGGCGGUUUGCUAAGACCGAUGUGAAAUCCCCGGGCUCAACCUGGGAACUGCAUUGGUGACUGGCAGGCUAGAGUAUGGCAGAGGGGGGUAGAAUUCCACGUGUAGCAGUGAAAUGCGUAGAGAUGUGGAGGAAUACCGAUGGCGAAGGCAGCCCCCUGGGCCAAUACUGACGCUCAUGCACGAAAGCGUGGGGAGCAAACAGGAUUAGAUACCCUGGUAGUCCACGCCCUAAACGAUGUCAACUAGUUGUUGGGGACUUCAUUUCCUUAGUAACGUAGCUAACGCGUGAAGUUGACCGCCUGGGGAGUACGGUCGCAAGAUUAAAACUUAAAUGAAUUGACGGGGUCAUAGCUG
Molecule: ribosomal RNA, 580 nt
Filed under: uncultured bacterium
Lineage: Bacteria
Description: partial 16S ribosomal RNA
Rfam family: Bacterial small subunit ribosomal RNA
Source: RNAcentral